RNAcentral lists this ribosomal RNA (254 nucleotides) under uncultured bacterium. RNAcentral's name for it is "partial 16S ribosomal RNA". It matches the Rfam family "Bacterial small subunit ribosomal RNA", at positions 524 to 776 of the family's 1533-position model. The record is from RNAcentral.
UACGUAGGGUGCGAGCGUUAAUCGGAAUUACUGGGCGUAAAGCGUGCGCAGGCGGUUCGUUGUGUCCGUCGUGAAAGCCCCGGGCUUAACCUGGGAACUGCGAUGGAAACUAGCGAGCUGGAGUGUGGCAGAGGGGGGUGGAAUUCCGCGUGUAGCAGUGAAAUGCGUAGAGAUGCGGAGGAACACCGAUGGCGAAGGCAGCCCCCUGGGCUAACACUGACGCUCAGGCACGAAAAGCGUGGGGAGCAAACAGG